This is a small nucleolar RNA of Mastomys coucha (southern multimammate mouse), 132 nucleotides long. RefSeq annotates it as small nucleolar RNA SNORA17. The record is from RefSeq and is a predicted model, not a curated record. Lineage: Eukaryota; Metazoa; Chordata; Mammalia; Rodentia; Muridae. The transcript has a single exon.
UUUUCCCCUAGAAGUGUUGUAGGUGUGGCUGCUAUGUCACAUGUACAUCAGUAUAUGGCAGAGAGGAGAGAGACUGUGUCUAUGCUUAGUGUUCCGACCAUUGUCAAUUUGGUAGCAUUAAAACCUUAAAAA